This 301-nucleotide ribosomal RNA is filed under the name uncultured bacterium. Its description in RNAcentral is "partial 16S ribosomal RNA". It matches the Rfam family "Bacterial small subunit ribosomal RNA", at positions 509 to 807 of the family's 1533-position model. The record is from RNAcentral.
CAGUAGCCGCGGUAAAACGAAGGGGGCUAGCGUUGCUCGGAAUUACUGGGCGUAAAGGGCGCGUAGGCGGAUGAUUAAGUUGGGGGUGAAAGCCCGGGGCUCAACCUCGGAACUGCCUUCAAUACUGGUCAUCUUGAGUACGGGAGAGGUGUGUGGAACUCCGAGUGUAGAGGUGAAAUUCGUAGAUAUUCGGAAGAACACCAGUGGCGAAGGCGACACACUGGCCCGUUACUGACGCUGAGGCGCGAAAGCGUGGGGAGCAAACAGGAUUAGAUACCCCAGUAGUCCCUGUCUCUUAUAC